GUCCACGCCCUAAACGAUGUCAACUGGUUGUUGGGAAUUCACUUUCUCAGUAACGAAGCUAACGCGUGAAGUUGACCGCCUGGGGAGUACGGCCGCAAAGGUUGAAACUCAAAGGAAUUGACGGGGACCCGCACAAGCGGUGGAUGAUGUGGUUUAAUUCGAUGCAACGCGAAAAACCUUACCCACCUUUGACAUGUGCGGAAUCCUUUAGAGAUAGAGGAGUGCUCGAAAAGAGAGCCGUAACACAGGUGCUGCAUGGCUGUCGU
RNAcentral lists this ribosomal RNA (266 nucleotides) under uncultured bacterium. Its description in RNAcentral is "partial 16S ribosomal RNA". It matches the Rfam family "Bacterial small subunit ribosomal RNA", at positions 793 to 1055 of the family's 1533-position model. The record is from RNAcentral.